GCGCUCAUAGCUCAGCUGGAUAGAGCACUUGGCUACGAACUAAGGGGUCGGGAGUUCGAAUCUCUCUGCAUGAA
RNAcentral lists this transfer RNA (74 nucleotides) under Acinetobacter baumannii. Its description in RNAcentral is "tRNA-Arg". The stretch from base 6 to 68 matches the Rfam family "tRNA", at positions 6 to 65 of the family's 71-position model. Rfam says of the family: Transfer RNA (tRNA) molecules are approximately 80 nucleotides in length. Their secondary structure includes four short double-helical elements and three loops (D, anti-codon, and T loops). Further hydrogen bonds mediate the characteristic L-shaped molecular structure. tRNAs have two regions of fundamental functional importance: the anti-codon, which is responsible for specific mRNA codon recognition, and the 3' end, to which the tRNAs corresponding amino acid is attached (by aminoacyl-tRNA synthetases). tRNAs cope with the degeneracy of the genetic code in two manners: having more than one tRNA (with a specific anti-codon) for a particular amino acid; and 'wobble' base-pairing, i.e. permitting non-standard base-pairing at the 3rd anti-codon position. Lineage: Bacteria; Pseudomonadati; Pseudomonadota; Gammaproteobacteria; Moraxellales; Moraxellaceae. The record is from RNAcentral.